This 7114-nucleotide long non-coding RNA is filed under the name Gallus gallus (chicken). Its description in RNAcentral is "lncRNA (ENSGALG00010020561.1)". Lineage: Eukaryota; Metazoa; Chordata; Aves; Galliformes; Phasianidae. The record is from RNAcentral.
UUCAAAGGCAGGCAAAGGCCAGGAAACCGUAUCUAUGUAUCCUCAAGAUCCGAACUCAUCAGUGGAAAAUUAUAACCCUCGGUUAUAUACGGAAAGGCAAAGCUGUUUCUGCUCAAAUUACUGUCAUGGUGAAAACUGGUGUCAGAGGAGGAUGCUCAUUUCUUCUCCUGGUACCUGAAGACAAGAACAACAAUAACUGUCAGUGAAACAAAAAUCAAACUCUACAUCAGCAGUCUAGGAGCUAAAGCUCCCAUCCAUCACAAAAUUAUUUAUUCACAAUGAGAAGUAGUCAUCUGAAGAAGAACUACUUGAAUAAGAAAAAGAGGCAGAAGGUGUCUCACCAGCUUACCUUCAUGUUUAUGCAAGGCAUCAGAGUAGUGCAAAUCAGCAUGGAAAACAUCAGAAGAUCAGAGGAGCUCUCUUCUGGUGUACAGUCCUCAAAGACAGAUGGUGAGAAGAGCUUUCUCUUUCACCAGUUUGCAGAACACCACAGCCUUCUCCAAAUGUAAAUCUUUGUCUCUUCAUUGUCUUCACGGAAUACAAACUGGUUACUUUGGAUAACGUCUGGGUCUCAGGAGCUAUUUCAGAUGUGCUCAUUUCUUUGACUGCAGCACUGAUUUGCUGGGAUUUUACACUCCCAGAACUCUCCUUCUCUCAGGUGACUAUCUUUACUGUCUCAGUGCUGAAUUCCCUCUUAUGCAAUCUCCAAAUGAAGGCAAAGAUAUGACAUUCUCCAUCAGAUUUUCAGAUAUUACUAAAAUUCUUCCUCCCGUUUCUCCAGUUCGUUCUAUCAGUUGCUCACUAUUCCCCAGUUCGUUUCUAGCUUGUUGGGUUUUUUUUGCUUUGUUUUGUUUUCACUGUCUGAGGUGCAAUCGCUAUAAAUCAUCAGCCAUUACCUUGUCAAUGCAAUAUUUUAAGACCAGCUCAUACACAUGAGCCAUAAGCAGGAUCCUUACAAUAGCACCUAAGAUAAAUGCUGACUUUUAACUUCAUGAGCACGAGAAACAAGUGAGAGCACUUAUUAUACAGUUACUGAAUCCUGGCUAGAGGAAGCCAGGAGACAAAGAAAAGUUCACCAUUUCUUCACGUGGUCUGAAUAUGGCUCUGGGCAUCUUCACCCCCAUAAACCAACACUGAGGAUGAAGGUGUAAGUCUCAGACUAGCCAAAUGUUAUUGGAGUGCUCUACUGCAUAAGGGACAGAUACUUCACUGCUUUGGUUAAUUCACAGCAUUAAGCAGAUUAUGUCCUACUGCUACUAUACACCUUUCACAAUCAUAGCAAGUUAAUUAUCUUCUGGAUGAGCAAAUUCAUGCCAGAAUAGCCUAGACUUCUUCAUAAGUAAGCAACGGCUUUCAUACAGUACCUGCCUUUUUACAGCAAGCAAUAUAGCCUGCUGUCAAAUCAGGCCCCAUGAACCACUUGGCGGGGCUGUCUGAGGCCACAAAAAGCAUCCUGCUGUUCUCAUCCCUGAGGACUUUUUGCCCCACUUCUGUCACAUAGACACCUUCCUGGCAUAUUUUGAAGGAAAAUAUGUUUCUGACCCAAAGCUACACGCACUUUCAGUGUUCAUUCCAAAUCACAAGGAAUCACACUGCUGGAACCAGAGACUUCCCACUGAUAGCGAGUAUUCAGGACAGAAGCUAAAAUCUCACAGAAAUCCUUUUGUAUAUUAACUGGUCUCCAAAGCACCUAAUCUUGAGAUAUCAGUCAGCAAAAGUCAAUUGAGAUGCUGUUGACAGGUCAUCCCACAGUCCUGUUCACUGUGCCAGCUUGUGUCAUGCUGGAAAGAUUUCAGUUCUUAUGAAUUCCUUGUCAACAUGAGCAAAGUUCUUAUUAGGCCAGUGAAGCAUGCAUUCCCUAAUGCGUGUACCAUGAUGCACUGUGUGUUGAAAAAGGGCAAAGGUAGCUUAAGACAGAGGAGGAAGUAAAGGGGGGGUGACCAACACUCACCUAGUGAUCUUAAAGCCCCUGUAGUUCUACAGUGGUUCACUACAGCUCUCACUUCUCAAAAUGGUGAAGCUUUCAGAUGCUCAACACCAAGCAAAUCUUGGCAACUCAACCCUGUCCACUCAGAUUCUCUCCUGAACAUCUAACUCCAGCACUAUUCUGCCUCCCCUCAGCAAAACACACUGGUUCCUGAUGCUGAGCAGCUUCACAUCAGUGCUGUGCUUCACCCCACAGCUGAUCAUAUUUAAGCAGAGGUGGAACGUAGCAUUCAGCACUUAGUCUGUGAAUUGGUCAGACCCUUCAGGAUGAAGAAUACCACAUAUUUUACCCACACGCAUUUCACACAAGCCAACCACCUAAUUCUUUUUCUCUAGUUUUCAAUUUCUGCAAGACACUGUUAUUUUAUGGAGAGCUGAAAAAUACCCAUAAGUAAGUCAGAGGUACAAUCUUUUUUUUCAUCCUUCCUGCUGCAGAAAAUUCUUCAUCACCUCCCUGUAAACACUAUUUCUGUUUUACUCUGCUGUGCCGCUUGGGGAAACACACUGCUGGGCGCAGGAUCUUCCUGGUAUCUAUUUUACGCCUCCGGGAGUUUUCCAGCAGCCAGCAAUAAUAUAAAAGAUCACCACGGACUGUGAUGUGACCAAUUACAGCAGACAGCAGUUAUUUAUAGAAAAGUCAGCAGCAGUGAAGCUUUAACACCAGCCGGUGCACCCCUCUGCUUCCCAUCACCUAGUGUGUUUGCUAGCAUCCUGCAACAUCCUGAAUAGCAAGGAUUUUUAAAGCAAUUACCUUGCUACCUCACAAAACUGUGUAGACGCAUGGCAUAUGCCCACAGGACAACGAAGGCAUAUCACUCUACACGCAUGUGAUCCUUGAGAUGCCACUACGUAUUUAAUUUUCAUAAAUUGUUGACCCCAGAUGUCACUUUCAUUCCCAAAUCCUUGUCCGCCUACUCAGCAGCAUAGCACGUUAAGGCUCAGCACAGUCAGUGUGCAUAAGACUCUGUAACACACACUAUCCUGAUUUCUAGCUGUUUGGAAACUGUCUCUUAUUCCCUCCACACCCUGCUAUAAGGUCUGUCCAAAUACUAAAGUACAAAGGAGGACAUGCUAGCUAGGUUUCUUUCUGAAUUUCCCUUAUCAUGAUCUAAACCAAAGUAGCUGAUACAGCUUUCAUUCUGUUGAUGCAAUCAGAGAUGGAAAAAUCACCAAAAAAGCUAGAAAAAUCACAGCAACCAAGAGGGAGAUGCUACUUACUGGGGACAUACCCUGCCUCAACAAAUCCCUGCUAUAAGACAGACAGUGGUGAUGGUCCCUAACAUAUAAAUGCCUGUUUUCUGAGCUGACGCAGGAUAAGGGAAGUUUGGGUGCUCAAGUACCUGACAUGAGUAACCUUAGAAAUAUGGAUUCAAGAUGUAAUUUUUAAUUAUUUUUCUUCGUGAAUUUUUCAUAUGCUCUAAGUGCAAAACUGCUCAUGGAAACUGAGGGAAAAAGUUUAUGGCCUCUUCCUAAGGUGAGCAUUUUACAGCUGAGCACAAUGCAGAAUGAAAUGCAAUACUGCCAUCUACUGCCUGGGCUCAAUAACAUCUCCUCUCCAUCUGUCACAUUCAGCUGAAGAUGAGAUCACUGUUUCAGGACAGGGAAUCUUCUAAUCAUAACAAAAAUGUGAUCUUGACUGAUCCAAAGGUCACAUUACAUUAAUACAGUCUUCACAGCUUUUUUUUAAUAAUAUAAUUAACAAUUUCUGCCAUACCAUUAAGAGAAUUAGAGACCAAAAAGCUCAAGGGGUAUUGACCUAUUCAGUUUCAGUUUUUAAAAUAACCUCAAAGCAACACAGACUUUUUUUUCCACUACUACCACCACCUUUAAACUCCCAGAUACAUAAUUCUUAGAUGUGCUUUCUAUUUGUGUUCAUGGAUAUCAUACUUUUAGCAAAGACCUGUAUCAGCCAGUAGAGCGGAUCUCCAAUCUGGUUAGCAGCUUUUAUCUUGUGAACCAGUAGGUCAGGUUAGAACACCUUAUGCUACACUAAGAAGAAAAACACCACUAAUUAGCAAUCUUGAUACCACAGUUUGAUGCAGAAAGAGACUUACUUCUACAAUGAUGCUACAGUUCACUACCAACACAUUCUCCAAGUCAACAUUCUCAUUCUCUUAACCUAUCAUCUCCCUAAAGUGCAUCUGUGCCUCUGCAAACGAUUUGGAAAGCUUUAAGUGAAUUAAAUAAAGCCUUCAGUAUAUCCUGGAUGAUUUUUGCUCACAGUAAGCUUGCUCUUCAGCACCCAAAGUCACACAUUCAAAUGGUAUUCCUCAACAAGUGGUACUGUUAGUUGGUUACUAAGUUUUAGUGUGAGCAUCCUUGGGUUCAAACUGCUCCUUAGCAGCAGUGCCAUGCAGGAUGAUGGCUCCCAUGAAUAAUCCACCACCAGAACACAGUGAGGUUCAAACUAUUCAGAGGCUGUGGCUAGAAAGCUAGGUCUGAGGCACACUGAUAUGACUAUACAAGGAAAGUCAGCAUCAGAAAGCAGCAACACAAAGCCUCACCCUCCAUGAGUUCCUUGAAGACUUCAGCCAGAAUGGCAUUAUACCAUGUGUCUUUAUAUCAGCUGAAAUCUGUUCUGAGUUCAGUUAUUAUUUUUUUCUUCUAAUCCACUAUACACCAAAAUUUACAGUCCAUAUCUAUUUUUAAAGAAAGAGAAUCCUGGGUAAGUUGUUUUGAGUCAAUUGCAGUUUCUGGCAGGGUUUUGUGAUGGAAAAUAGACUCGUCUGAAGCUCCACAUUACUCCUGGGCAGGAUACAAAAGGAGAAGGGCAGAACUGCGCAUGUGCGUGAAAAAUUGCAGAUGAAACCAGGGGACCAUGUAAAAUCUAUAACAACAAUAAAGAACACAGCUCAGCUCAUGUCAUCACCAUAUGAGCUUAUUGUCCUGGGCAAGGGUUCAACAAUGGAUUUGGCAAAGAUGAUUCUUUCUGAUCAGCAUUACAUCAAUCCACAGCUACAAAUAUACCAAAUAAUCUAGCAUCAAAGCUGUCAGGGUUGUAUUACCCUGCACUUCUGGGUUCUGAGCAGCAGAAUACUGCCUGCCUCCUGGAUUUUUAACAACAGUGGCUUUUUCACUUGGCUAAGACAGGCAAGAAUGUUUGUCCUGACCUUGCUAAGUUGAGAGGUGAAUUAUCACAGCAUGUCUUACUUCCCCUUCAGAUCCCAUCGCUGAAAUGGCAGGGGACAGGGAAUCACCUCUGUCCUUGUAAUUAUGCUGCAUCAAAGAGACUGGUUGAUCUGAGAGAAGGCUGUGACCAGGCAAAAAUAAAAAUACAGAAGCAAAAAAUCAGGCACUUCUACUGCUUGUAACUGAUGUCAGCUCAGUCUUUGGUAGAAACUAGCUGUCCUGUUCCUCUUUGGACUUCACUCUAAGCUAAGGCCUGUAAGUCAGAAGCCAGGCAAGGACAGAGCACAGCAUGGUACAUCCAUCUGUUGGAAGCCAAAGCCUCUCUGAAGCUCUCAGUCUCAGAUACCUCAGUGAGCAGAAAGACGUAAGAUUCCUCCCUCCCACCCCCAGCAUGGCAGAGCAACAUGCUUUGCAACCUAUUUGACAACUCACAAGGAUAUUACCUAUCGAAGUUCUAAUGUCUUUGAUGCCUUAACCGUUCAGGCAGGACAGGCUAAAUAUCAUCUCGCAGAAACUUCUGAUGUCUACAGGGAGCAAGACCCCUUCUUGACCUUUUCUCUUGCUAUUUUGCUGGUUUUGUUCUGUGCUUCUCACAGGUGAUCCAUUCCAGAUGCACAAAAGAGGUCAAACUAGCAGAGGUGGCUUGUGCCAAAGGCUUUGGCUUCUGCCAAGAGACACUUGAAAAGAAAGACAUUUGUGCUAGUGACAUAGAGCAAAGAGGGACAAUAUGUCUUUUACUCCAAUUGAUUUACCCACCAACCUUCUACGCAAACAAGGAUAAAAGCAGCAUUUCAGUCCACAUUACAGCAGAUGGGCUCUGCAUGCAGCACGAGAGAAAUAGCUAUAAAAAAAAAUACUGAGCCAGCCCCAAGAUCUGGAGAGGAUGGGAUAAUCAGAAGGCUUUUUUAUACUGUGCAGCUUGAGGAUGUCAUUUACCUAAAGUGCAUCUUAGUUAAGAUAGUUAUCAAAAAGGGACAUGCCAAGCAGCGAGCAACUUAGAAAAUUAGUCAGUUGAACUAAUCCUUUUAGGACUUGUUUUUCUCUCCUCCUUGCACAAAUCUAAGAGAGGAUUACUGGUUCUAGAUAGGAAGACAGAAGGUAUGUUGCACAUCUGUAUCUCCUAAAAGCAGCAUGGAACUAAUGCCAUUAAGCCAUGGCCACUCUGUUUACCAGAGAGCACAAAUAGCUCCCAAAGUGUUUCUCCACUCACGGUCACUGACCUUUAACAUACCACAGUGCAGAGAGGCUGAGCUAUUAAUUUACAAAUCAGAUACUGUUGAAUGAAUACCGACAUCCCCAAAUGUAUUCAUGAUGGUGAAUGCAACCUCUGAUCUCCUCCAUGAGAAUUUUUAAAAAAGUUCAACUUUGUCUAAGUGUCAAGUGGCUGGGAGAAAAGAAUCCUUCCAGAUGGAGGUUACUGAUCUUCUAAAAAUGAAGUCUCCAUUUUAAAUUAAAACCAAAAAGACUGCUUCAAAAAACCAUCACCACCACUAAAGUAAAUAAAUAAAUAAAUAAAAUCCUUCAAGGCACAAAAAUUCAAUAAAGCAAGGAUAGAGUCUAAGACAAAUAGAGAAGAUUAAACAGAGACUUUACCAUCAAAUCAGAUAGCAAGAAGAAACAAAUUGAAAAGCAGGCUAAUUACAAACUUCUAAUUUUUUCUUCUGCGUACCUAAAAUUUUAUUGCAUACUUAUCUGCGGCAAGAAAUACAUAAAGGAAGGCCUGAGUUAGUACUAAACGACUAGAUAUAUCUGGGUAUGUAUCUAUAUAUCUCUAUAUAUUCUUUGUUUAUGCAGUUGAGUGACAAGUUUGACAAAACAGAAAUUCUGUUUGGACAUGUUAAUUUCAUCUUUUUCUGCAACAUCCUUGAUAUGCUAAUGGCAAAAAGGAUAGAGUUAGGUAAUGAAGUUUAGACUGUUCUGCUCACCCACUCCUUCCUCAUCUACAGGACACAAAAAUGUGAUUUGAACAAACCUACAUGAUUCCAAUUCAAAAAUAAAC